Molecule: non-coding RNA, 234 nt
Organism: Pelobates cultripes (western spadefoot toad)
Lineage: Eukaryota; Metazoa; Chordata; Amphibia; Anura; Pelobatidae
Source: the annotation of a GenBank genome assembly
CGCGUUUCGACUAUCAAGAGUUUUUAUCAAAGUGCAUAAGGCAUUAGUCUCCGUGUCCUGUAUAUAUACCAAUUUGGUAUUCAAAUUUGGCGCCAAAUUCUUCAUUUUAGUUGCGUACAUCUGCUUCCUGGUUCCGCCGGACGACUUCCUCAUUCCCGCCUUCUUUUACAUCAGAUUGCGUCUGACGUCAGACAUUUUUCUCCGAACCCGGAAGUGAUGCAUAUUACAUUCCUG